UGAAGAUGGCUUGUAUCAGGUUGCCGAAGUAACUAUCGGGCAUGGGUGGAUCAACCCUUUUACGACAAUCUGCAAAGACGGUGAAAACGGUGUAGUCUUCAGGUUUAAGGCAACGUGCUUGGGUUACAUGUUGCCAAAUGUGGACAGCUAGAGAUUGAAAAGUAGAAAAUGGUUUAGAGGCAGCGGAUGGUUGGUUGGAGUUGACUUUGGACUUGAUCUUGUCGAUGGCAGCUUCGGAAAACCUGAAGAAUUUCUCCCUCAGUUGCGGGGCUUGGUCGGUGUGGCCGUUGGAUGAAGCGACUGGGUUGGGUGGGAACGAGAGUUCCAGUUUCACGCGGGUGGUUCGGGCUUUGGUCCGCUCCAGGAACGGUGGGGCUGCAAUCGAGUUUGAGCCGCGACAGAUUUGAGCC
RNAcentral lists this long non-coding RNA (410 nucleotides) under Gossypium raimondii (Peruvian cotton). Its description in RNAcentral is "long non-coding RNA (GRAI_LNC004517)". The record is from RNAcentral. Lineage: Eukaryota; Viridiplantae; Streptophyta; Magnoliopsida; Malvales; Malvaceae.